GCAGACUGAGAACUCAUGUGCAGAAAUUAGAAUUUUCAGUUCCCUGGAACUGGAAUACCCAGAAUGAAGACGAAGGACUCUGUACGCAUUAUGAUGUCCACUGCCAACUACGAACUGCCACUGGCAACACAUUCCGUUCCAGUUGGGAAAAGGGAUCAAGGAGAAAAAAACACUAUCCAAAAGCAGAGGACAAACUGAGGGAAUAGAAACACCAGGGAAAAGCAACUGCCUG
Molecule: long non-coding RNA, 232 nt
Filed under: Monodelphis domestica (gray short-tailed opossum)
Lineage: Eukaryota; Metazoa; Chordata; Mammalia; Didelphimorphia; Didelphidae
Description: lncRNA (ENSMODG00000043194.1)
Source: RNAcentral